Molecule: ribosomal RNA, 274 nt
Filed under: uncultured bacterium
Lineage: Bacteria
Description: partial 16S ribosomal RNA
Rfam family: Bacterial small subunit ribosomal RNA
Source: RNAcentral
CUACGGAGGGUGCGAGCGUUACUCGGAGUCACUGGGCGUAAAGCGUCCGUAGGCGGUCGGGUAAGUCGGGUGUGAAAGCCCCGGGCUCAACCUGGGAAGUGCACCCGACACUGCUCGACUCGAGUGCGGGAGAGGAUGGCGGAAUUCCCGGUGUAGCGGUGAAAUGCGUAGAGAUCGGGAGGAACACCAGUGGCGAAGGCGGCCAUCUGGCCCGCAACUGACGCUGAGGGACGAAAGCGUGGGGAGCAAACAGGAUUAGAAACCCCAGUAGUCC